This is a long non-coding RNA of Lycium ferocissimum, 596 nucleotides long. RefSeq lists it as uncharacterized. Lineage: Eukaryota; Viridiplantae; Streptophyta; Magnoliopsida; Solanales; Solanaceae. The transcript has 2 exons. The record is from RefSeq and is a predicted model, not a curated record.
UUAGUUUUAGUAUUUAUAUUUGGUAAACAUUUAUCUUAAACAAUAGUAGAAGUAGUAUCACUUAUGUUUCAAUGGAUUGAACAUAUUUAUUUUAAAAAUCAGCCACUCCACAUUUCAUCUUUCUGGUCUCUGCAUUUGAGACAAUAAAUCUGAGCCCGACACCCCUACUAUGCAUCACUCUGCUGAACAGGGUCAAGAUGCUCCACAAACUGAGUUGUUAUAGGAGCCUCAUCACCGUACCUGAGGGAUUCGGGUAUGAUUUAAAUUUUACAUCUUAUGAUUAUGUUUAUCAACAAAUGAUUUAACUUUUACAUCUUCUGAUUAUGUUUAUCAACUAAUCUUUAAUUUAACCUCUCAAUAUUUUAAUUGUUGUAUUGCAGGUUUAAUCUAGUCCCAGAUAAUUACAUUCGCCAUUGACAAUAUUUUUGAUAUAGCAUACUCGAUGUGGGGUGAUAUCCAAUAGCCGCUCAAGCACUAAAUCUUCAAUGAGCUUAAGAAAAAAUAUGCAUGGCUUCCCCACCAUGACAGGCUACUAACUUUGAAAAGAAAGCAAGGUCUAUACUAGCCGACUUAUUUUCAGCCUCUCGUAGGAAAGG